RNAcentral lists this ribosomal RNA (429 nucleotides) under uncultured prokaryote. RNAcentral's name for it is "bacterial SSU rRNA". It matches the Rfam family "Bacterial small subunit ribosomal RNA", at positions 355 to 776 of the family's 1533-position model. The record is from RNAcentral. RNAcentral also lists the same sequence under 1 other name.
UAGGGAAUUUUCGGCAAUGGGGGAAACCCUGACCGAGCAAUGCCGCGUGAACGAUGAAGGUCUUCGGAUUGUAAAGUUCUGUUGUUAAGGAAGAACUAUAUGAUUAGGAAAUGAGUCAUAUUUGACGGUACUUAACUAGAAAGCCCCGGCUAACUAUGUGCCAGCAGCCGCGGUAAUACAUAGGGGGCAAGCGUUAUCCGGAAUUAUUGGGCGUAAAGCGUGCGUAGGCGGUUUAUUAAGUCUGAUGUUAAAUCCCACAGCUUAACUGUGGUUGGUCAUUGGAAACUGGUAAACUUGAGUACAGUAGGGGUAAGUGGAAUUCCAAGUGGAGCGGUGGAAUGCGUAGAUAUUUGGAGGAACACCAGUGGCGAAGGCGGCUUACUGGGCUGGAACUGACGCUGAGGCACGAAAGCGUGGGGAGCAAACAGG